AUGGGCGUGCGUGGAGAGAUCUUGCAGAAGCGAAGGGGGAAGGUGGAUACAGGCUCGAUUCUGCAGAAGCAUAAUGCAAAGGAGAGGACGUGCUCCCCUGAUCAGCUCCGCGGACGUACACAGGGUAUCAAUCGGCCUGUCAAGGCUGAAUCACCUCUGGCCGGAGAGAUGUCUCAGAAGCGAACAGAGAAGCUGGAUACAGUCUCGACUCCACAGAGGCAUAGUGCAAAGGAGACAGCGUGCCCCCCUGAUCGGCUCCACGGACGUACACAGGGUAUAAAUCGGCCUGUCAAGACUGAAACAGGUUUGUCUCAGAAGCGAAGGGAGAAGGUGGAUACAGGCUCAAUUCCACAUCGGCCUGUCAAGACUGAAACAGGUUUGUCUCAGAAGCGAAGGGAGAAGGUGGAUACAGGCUCAAUUCCACAGAAGCAUAAUGCAAUGGAGAAGAUGUGCCCUCCUGAUCAGCUCCGCCGACAGAUGCAGGGUAUCAAGCGGCCUGUCAAGACUGAAGCAUGUAUGUCUCAGAAGCAAAGGGAGAAGGUGGAUACAGGCUUGAUUCCACAGAAGCAUAAUGCAAUGGAGAAGACGUGCCCCCCUGAUCAGCUCCGCCGACGGCAACACCGCUGCUAUCCAGAACAGAGAGAAGAAGACGUGGGCGAAAUAAUUCAGAAGCUGAACAAAUUGGGAUUGGGAGAGGAUAUCAGCUUUGAGGAGUACUAUGGAUGCUUGGAGCAGCUGCCUCUCGACCCCGUGUUGAUACUUCCAAUAAACUCGACCUUAUGGCUCGCUUUCGCAUGGACCUUCGUCAUGCGGUGUAUCGCAUCAUAUCCUACAAGGUUCCAUCCAUCCAUGCCUCUAUUUUUCAGUCAUCUAUUAAGUGCUGUUCAAUCUUUGUUAAACAAGGAGUCCAAGAAUGAGUUGUGCCGUCUUGAACUGAUGGAGUGCCCAAUGGAUCUUCUUGACAAGGACGAAUUUCCUAAAGAUUUCCUCGUGGAGAUGCAAUAUUUUAGCUUCUUCGAGAGAACAGGUGCAUUAGACUGGUUCUUCGACCCUGAUCUGCCUGCUGGCCUGAAUGACUACCAGCGUCUAGUUCCUCAUGAUCAUGGUCAUGGUGAGUAUGCUUUCUGGGGUGCGUACAGAAGUUACUUUCAUAGCUACGAGAUGCAACUUGAAUACAUCAAGUACUUUGAAACAUUAUUAAGGGAACUUGAGGAUUGUUUUACUUACAUGAGCUUCGAGGCUACUUGGUGUAACGGGUCCGAUGAUCUCUAUUUUGAGAUUUGGAAGCGGGUCACUCAACAAAAGGUACCAGUUGAUGAAGCUCAGGCGUUGAUUGCAGAGGCAGUUAAAAAGCUGAGGAUAAAACCCAUAUUCUAUGAUGGCUAUAUCAGAAAGAAGAUAGACAUUGCCAAACCUAUAGGAGUGAUUACUGAGCUCACUCUGCCCAUCCACCGGCCAGCUCUCCUGCGCCGUCGCCGUCGCCACCUGCGCCGCGGCCAGCACCUGCCCCGCCACCAGCUGCACGGCCUGCUCCGCCGCUACCGUCAUGCGCCUACGCUCCACGGCUACCUGCGACGCCCGCCACCUUCCUGCGACGCCACGGGUGGGGCGCCCGCCACCUGCUCGACCCGCGGCGCGGCCUCCUUCCGUGCGCCCGGCCGGAGCGCUCAAAGGAUGGAGUUGCGGUUUGCUUUCAUGGUGCACAUUAGAAGGGACCGGUACAUGUUCGAUGCAAAGGAUAAGAAGAAAUACCAAGGAGGUUUUGAUUAUCGGUUGCCAAUGGCUAGUAAUUGGAGUUUCAGACAAUUUGAGGAGGUAAUUUGUAGCCAAUAUCCUUGGGGUUUGCUUGAUGAAGUGGUAUACAAAUACUAUGAUGGGGAAAAGAAUUGGGUGACAGUUACUAAUGAUGAAGAGCUAGCUACCAUGUUUGUUAGGCAUAAAGAGAAAGAUAAUUUUCAUGUGAGGCUGCAAGUUGAUGUGCUUGAGCAGGCAUUUGGACCUAGGAUGACGGAUGCAACAUCUCGGGGAGAACCAAGUCGUCGUAAUGGCAUCUCUAGCCAGAACAGUUCAGUUGGUGCACGGCGACGUGGUGGCUCGACAAGUGUGGGAAAUAUCAGUAGGGUCCCCCUUGAAGUGGAGCCUGAUGACUACAAUUCUGGGGUUGAUGAAGAGAAGCUAUAUUCUGAUGUUAUUCGGAAUUUACGACGGGCACCUCGGACUGAAAACCAAGAUGAGGCUCACAAUGCAGUCCGUGUGGAUGAUGACGCGGUGGGUGAGGACGAAGACCUUGCAGCUGUUGAAUGGGACCCUUUGAACCCUCAUAUGGAAGAAGGCUUCGAUGAAAAUGUUGGUCAGCAGCCGGUUGCCUCGACAGAUGAUAAAAAUGAUGGUCAACAGCCGGUUGCAUCAGAUGAGGAUUUUGACGAGGUUCCAAAUGAUGAUGGUCAACAGCCUCAUGAUUUUGACGAUGAUCCAAAAUAUCCUCCAAAUAAUGAUUCAAGUGAGGCUCCAAAUGGUGAUCCAAGUGAGGCUCCAAAUAGUGAUCAUGGUGAUCCAAGUGAGGCUCCAAAUGGUGAUCAUGGUGAUCCAAGUGAUGCUCCAAAUGAUGAUCCAAGUGAGGCUCCAAAUGGUGACCAACCUUCUGUUGUUGUGAGUUCUGCUAGGUUUGAAGAAGACGCGUAA
This 2682-nucleotide ribosomal RNA is filed under the name Triticum aestivum (bread wheat). RNAcentral's name for it is "partial small subunit ribosomal RNA". The record is from RNAcentral. Lineage: Eukaryota; Viridiplantae; Streptophyta; Magnoliopsida; Poales; Poaceae.